AAGCCCUUGACAAUAUAUUAGA
RNAcentral lists this microRNA (22 nucleotides) under Sarcophilus harrisii (Tasmanian devil). Its description in RNAcentral is "Sha-Mir-7373-o1_5p* (star (passenger))". The record is from RNAcentral. Lineage: Eukaryota; Metazoa; Chordata; Mammalia; Dasyuromorphia; Dasyuridae.